GGCGAACGCUGGCGGCGCGCUUAACACAUGCAAGUCGAGCGAUGAAAUUGCGACAGCUCCCUUCGGCGGGAGGAUGAAAGGGGUUAGCGGCGGACGGGUGAGGAACACGUUAGUAAGCUGCCUUUGACAUUGGGAUAGCCUCGGGAAACUGGGAUUAAUACCAAAUGACACUAACUGAUCACAUGAGCAAUUAGUCAAAGGAAUGCGGUCAAAGAUGGACUCGCGGCUGAUUAGCUAGUUGGUGAGGUAACGGCCCACCAAUGCGACGAUCAGUAGCCGGCCAGAGAGGGUGAUCCGACACAUUGGAACUGAGACACAGUGCAAAAUACUAGGGGAGGGAGGCGUGGGGAAUACUGCAAAACGGGGGAAAUGAUGAUGGAGCGCGGGCGGGUGAGCGAAGAAGGCCGUAGGGUAGUACAGCUCUUUUAUGCGGCAAGAUACUGACGGUACCUAAAGAAAAAGCACCGGCUAACUACGUG
This 479-nucleotide ribosomal RNA is filed under the name uncultured bacterium. Its description in RNAcentral is "partial 16S ribosomal RNA". It matches the Rfam family "Bacterial small subunit ribosomal RNA", at positions 28 to 507 of the family's 1533-position model. The record is from RNAcentral.